CAUAAAAAUUGAAGAUUUUCUUAUAUUACCAAAAAAGCUAAUGCAUGUGGGAGGGUUUAUAACUUCUAUAAUAUGACAUUAUAUUUUAUUGAAAUUAUCAAAAGUCUGAAAGAGAAAAAUGACAAAAAAAAUAGAAAUAUGAUGAAUUGUCUCCCCUUUAUGGAAAAAAAAAUGUUCAGUGCACCAAUUCUGAAGUGGAAUGUAAAACAACUGCAAUUGAUCAAGUCUUGCAGCAUAUUAAAAACUCAUUUCAAAAUGUGAAACUAAUAAUUUUUUUAAUAAAAUUGGAAAAAACACAAAUGGCUCAUGCUUUAAAAAGGAUCACCAUUUUUCCAAAACAAAUCUAUGGAACCGAACUCCUUAUUUUUUUAAACUUUUUUAUAAUUGGAACAAUUUUUUAGAUUCUGAUUUAC
RNAcentral lists this long non-coding RNA (413 nucleotides) under Mytilus galloprovincialis (Mediterranean mussel). The record is from RNAcentral. Lineage: Eukaryota; Metazoa; Mollusca; Bivalvia; Mytilida; Mytilidae.